AAGGAUUUAAGUUAAGGUUCAAACUAAUAACCUUCAAAGUUGUAAAUAGAGAAAUUACCUCUAAGCCUUA
RNAcentral lists this transfer RNA (70 nucleotides) under Tenebrionoidea sp. 16 KM-2017. Its description in RNAcentral is "tRNA-Trp". The record is from RNAcentral. Lineage: Eukaryota; Metazoa; Arthropoda; Insecta; Coleoptera.